Molecule: long non-coding RNA, 4484 nt
Organism: Pan troglodytes (chimpanzee)
Lineage: Eukaryota; Metazoa; Chordata; Mammalia; Primates; Hominidae
Exons: 3
Source: RefSeq, a predicted model, not a curated record
AAAUAAUCGGGGCUGCCAGGGACGUGGGUCGGGGAACCUGGAGUGUCGCGGGGUGCCUGUGCCUCCGAGCCCCACUGGCCCCUGCGCCCCGAGACGCACUGGCUUUCUUCUUCCGCUGGCCCCGCGGCGUCAGGACAGAGGAUGACCGAACCAUAAAACCUUGCACCAUUGGGUUCAGCCUUUGGCCUCUCCUUUCCCGCUAAAUUUCUCUUUGAAUCCGGCUGGAGAAAGAUCUUUGGGUUUCACAGGUCUUAAAGAGAGGAAGAGUUUGUAAUAUUCUUCAGGGGAAGCCUUUUGAGAUUGAAAUACCAUACUUUGAAUGAUAACUCUAUAUCUAUCUAUAAUAUACUAUGGUUUAAUGUUUGGAAAUCAAACACAGUAUUUAUUUUUCAUGUGAACUACUAAAAGUAAAUCUGCAUGGACUUCUUGCCUGGUGAGUUACACAGAAAAUGAAAGUGAUUAUCAGUGGCUGUGGCAAGACGAAAGGAACCAUGCCAGAACUUCUGAGGGAAGGAAGAGUGUUUGGAACUGAAAAAUCCUUGUCUGGAUCUAGUCCUCAGCCACUCAGAAGCCGGCAUGCCAUGACUCAAAGAGCUGCCCAUCUGGAAUGAAGACAGUGACCCGUAACUCCCACCUGAAGAGCAGGUGCUUGGAAAACGCCGCCAGUCCGCAGGAAAAAGUUGUUACUGCUGCUGUCUGUGACCAAGAGGACACUUUAUUUCUUGAAACAACUGGGGGCAAACUGGCUCCCAGAUAAGGCUUCAGUCCCUACUCAUGUGAGGAAACCAGCCCUGGUAGGUUCCAUGCACAAGAAUACAGGACAAGGAGCAGCUUUGUUCACCUCAUGCAACCUCCAGGGAUUUCAGCUUCCUUUUCUUGGAGCAAGAAAGUGAAGCGACGUGGGGAGUCACUAGGAACAAUGUCUGUCUUACUGUGUUUCAUGGAAACUGGAGGUUCCUUAGAGAUCCCUCAGAAGCAGACCUAGUGGUCAGAGUAAAAGCUGAGGAGUAAGCUGUGCCUCUCCCUCCCCAGGCCCCAUCCCAACCACAGAAGUUCCACCUGCAUCAGUUUUAUAUACCAGACUAUUGCAUGAAAUUACAUUUUGACAGAUGAUUAUUCUUAAAAAAUAUGUAAAAACCAACAAACUAGGCCAUAUCAAGUCCUGGUCCCUUCUCCAUUAGUGCAGUAAACAAUUCCACCAAGGAAAAUAUAGGUGUGAAAGUGCUUUGCAAACUGUAGAAGGGCAUGCAAAUUCUAGGGGCUGUAAUUAGGAUUAUUCUCCCCAGAAGCGGGGAUUAUUUUGUUUGCUUGCUUCCCGAUAGUUUGGUGAGGGACUGAGGUCAUUUGCCCCCAUACCACAAAUGACUCAUUUCAAAUAACAGACCUGGUGACUUACUGAGUCAAAGUCCACCUUUGGGAAUUCCUGGAUCACCUCUUUGAGCUCCCCUCUCAUCCACUUUCCAUUCCAAAGACACCCUGCCCACCCCACUGGUCACACAAACACUUCCCAAACUCUUAGAUGCUUGAUAUCUAUUGUGUGUUGCACCAUCUUUCUUUCUAAGCCAAACCAUGGGAUGUGGGAAACUGGAAAGGAAACUUGAAUUGAUUUGAGUUGACACGAGAUCACACUAUUUGGGAAGAAUCCAGAAUUCAAUCAGCAGCCUUGGACCGAGAAAGUCCAGGUCUGAGCAUUGGCUUUCCCCCUUAUCAGAGGAUGACUUAACCUCUGGGAGUUUCGGUAAUCCCAGCCACAAAACAAGGGUAAUCAGACCUUUCCCAUAGUUUAUUAUGAGUAGUCAGUGAAAGAAGACAUCAAGACCAUUUCCUGGUGUGCCUGCCUCAUGGUGGGACUCAAUGACCUCUAAGCUACCUGAGAACAGGGACAUGUCCUUCUGGGGCGCCAGCACAUACUCAGCUCUCAGUCCCUAACAUAUACACUGUGCUCCAUAAAUAAGCAUUACAUAAAUGUAUGAGGGACUGUUAUUUUUUUUCCCUCCCAUCAAAGCGCAUAGGGGUGUUUCAGGAAUCACAUGAACUGGUGGGAGGAAACACAUAGACAACUUGACAGUUUCUAAAUAAAUGCAAGCAGUGACAUCCUAUUUGGGGUGACUGGUUCAGGGAGACUUGAGUGCAGACAGAGCAUUACUCACUCUGGCAGACUAGGGUUCUUUGCUGGAAUAUUGGGGCCUGAUGGCUUCUGACUGGUAGUAAUAAAUCCUGUUCCUCUCGCGCAAAGAAAAGCCAAAUCUAAACAAAAUGUGAGCAGGAGUGUGAAAUGCAAAGCUGGGAGAUCUUGGGCUGAAUCAUGGAAUUCAAGGAUUACAAAUGCAGCAGAUCACAGACUCUUUUAAAGGGACAACAUUUAAUUAUUUCACGGGACUGCUUCCCAGAAAAGGAAUGAUCUGGCACAGUAAAGAAAAAGUAACAUUCCAGUUAAACCUUAACUCUUAAAAAAAUUAAUCCUUACUUCAUAUUCACAGUGUGAAUUCUACACAUAUAAAUGAACAGUGGUGAAAAAAGCUCUUGCAAAAUAAUUAUUAGUAAAGUCUAAAUAAACCAGUAGCUGGGAAGCAAUCUUCAUGAAAAAUAAAUAACCUCUAAGGAUUAGUCUCAAGCUAACCAAGUGUGAUUAUAGAGCUGAGCCUUUAGGAUUAAUAAGGCUUUCAAAUUAUGGUAAAUAAAGAAAUUGGUGUGGCUGCGGCACCCUGGAAGUGCCAAGGGGAGAGAUGCAACUGGAUUUUUUAGAUAGAUCCAUGUUAGCCACAAAAUGGGUUUUACACAGACCUUUGGAGGUUAAAAUAGUAUGCAGAUAGGACAAUUCCUAGACUUGGAUGAUAAUAAAUUUAGAAAUGUGAAUUUUUGACAAUGAAAUUUGAAUUAAUGGUAUGUGGCUUUAUGUAGCAAGCUAAUUGGAAGGAAGACGAGCAAAACAGUCUAUAUUUUAUGCACUAUUAUUUAAGGGAAUGUAAUUAUAUUUAUUUUUAAUUAUAUUUAUUUUAUGUUCAUGUAGUAACUAAAAUUCAUAUUUAUUCCUCUUCUCUCCAUUUCAUACAAAGUGGUUAAACAUCUAUUGGAAGGCUUUAGGAAUCUGUUUUGAUGAACAUUUAAGCAUGAUUUGUUUUGGACAUAUCCAUGGUUGGUAUGUAAAUGGUAACUAAGAGCCUUGUAAUUAUCUAAAAAUUGCUUGUUCGCUGCACUCAUUUACUAUGUGACUACUAUGUGCUGAGAACAAUUUAUACAUUCUUGGUUCUGUCAUAAUUAAUCAUCACCACUCCUUCACUGCCACUAUUGCCAUCAUCACCACUCCCACCUCCACCAUCACCACUGCCACUAUCAUCACCACCAUCAUCACCACCACCACUACCAUUAUCCACCAUCACCACUAGAGUUAUUACUACCAUCACUACAACCAACAUUAUCUUCAACAUCAUAGCUAAUAGCCAGUACUUUCUACAUGUGAAGCCUAAUGUCAUUUAAUUGUCACAACAAUCCUAUGAAAAGUUAAUUUCUAUUUUACAGAUAAGGAAACAAAGUCUUAGAAAGGUUACAAAACUUGUCCAAAGCCACAUUUUUAUUUCACUUAGCAAAUCUUUCCUGGCUUUAAGAGGUAUGGGGAUAGAAAAGUUUAAUCCCUUUUUGAUUCUUGAUGUAGCAAAAAUGCUAAAUUAAUGGAGUCCUAAUUCAUUAGUCUUUACUAAAUUUUAUUCUGAAUCAUGGAAAUCAGUUUCUUUUAAGAAGGAAGAUUUCCUUUGGAAGCUUUUGUUGGAGUGGAGGAGGUGAAAAGAGUAUUGCUAAGGUAGAGAAUGGAGAAUGUUGACUCUCACAGCCCUCUGAAAAAUUAGAAUCCUAGAAUAAGACAACUUUAAAUGUGUAGACUCGGACCUUGGCUAUUCAAUGGACAAUUUUAGAUUUGCAUAGGACUAUGCCUUGAUUCCUUAGAGUAUCAUUGUGAGAUGGUUGUAUAUUCUGACUAGAAAUAACAACAUUUUCUCUUUACAGCACCUGAGAGUUUAUUCAGUGACGAUAAUACUCACAAGACCCUUUUGGGAUUUGUGGCCCAACCCACAAGUUAUAGUUCCUUCUCUGAAUAUUUCAUCCAGAUUGUGAAAAGCAGCUUCUGGCAGCCACAGUUGUACUAUGUGACCCCUACUUCCCAUGCCCAGGACUGAUUCGACCCCGUAGUAGACACCUAAAGCAAUCCCGAUCAGUCAGAGUCUUUGUUCCUGACAUUUGGGAUUAGAGCAUGGCUGAAGGUUUAAGACACAAACUUGGAAGCUGUGGGGCAGCAAUACACCUCCAUGAGGACAGAGAAGCAGGGGAAAUAAGAAUAAACCAGAAGCUCACAGAAAUGCAGGAAAUACUUCUAGAGUUCUAACACUUUUCGGGUUUCUUGUCCUAGUCCAUUCUUGACACACUUGUGCCUCACAGAAGCCAAUGGCAAGAAUGCAGUCAGAUCCUUCCAAUAAAUUCCUUUUAUUCUGUUU